Molecule: long non-coding RNA, 582 nt
Organism: Oreochromis aureus
Lineage: Eukaryota; Metazoa; Chordata; Actinopteri; Cichliformes; Cichlidae
Exons: 3
Source: RefSeq, a predicted model, not a curated record
AGGAGCUGUGUGAAAGAAGACAGACACCCAGCUGUGCAGGCGAGCAAGCAGGCCGAAGAGACAAACAGAAACAAGCAGGACAACAACAACGAAGAAGAUGAUGAUGAAGAACCCCGUCAUUCUGAUGGCCUGCAUCGUUCUUUUGUCGUCUCUCGUUACGUCUGACAACACCUUCGGUCCAGACAAAUGCUGCUUUCAGUUCCUGAAAACGUCUGCCGGCCAAAAAAGUGGCGAGCAUUGAAUACACAGACAAGCGGUGUGCAAUGGAAGGCGUGCUCUUAAAGACGGUGGUUGGUAGACAAGUCUGUGCUGAUCCAACCACGCAGUGGGUAAAGAAGAUCAUUGAAUCCAUCCAACUGAAGAAUGCCACCACCCCUGGGCACGAAGGAUCAGAAUAACCGAGUGUGCAAUGAACAUUUUAAUAACAGUAUAACCAAGCAGAUCUCUUGGUGUAUGAAUCUAUUUUCAAACCAUCAAAUCUUCAGAUUGAUUUUCUUUUCUUUGUCUGUGUAUAAGCUAUUGUAGAGCAAAACAUAUACUGAAAAUGCAAAAUAAAAAAAUAAAAAAAUAAAAUGAAAGUUA